AUUUAAAUAGUUUAAUUAAAAUACUGAUUUGUGGUGUCAGAGAUAUAUAUAUAUAUUAUUUUAAAUA
This 67-nucleotide transfer RNA is filed under the name Abscondita cerata. Its description in RNAcentral is "tRNA-His". Lineage: Eukaryota; Metazoa; Arthropoda; Insecta; Coleoptera; Lampyridae. The record is from RNAcentral.